GAAGCGCAGUAAUGUGUGGAGCUAACCGGUCCUAAUAGUUCUUUUCGCGCUUG
RNAcentral lists this ribosomal RNA (53 nucleotides) under Altererythrobacter sp. Its description in RNAcentral is "partial 23S ribosomal RNA". Lineage: Bacteria; Pseudomonadati; Pseudomonadota; Alphaproteobacteria; Sphingomonadales; Erythrobacteraceae. The record is from RNAcentral.